RNAcentral lists this ribosomal RNA (443 nucleotides) under uncultured bacterium. Its description in RNAcentral is "partial 16S ribosomal RNA". It matches the Rfam family "Bacterial small subunit ribosomal RNA", at positions 338 to 795 of the family's 1533-position model. The record is from RNAcentral.
CCUACGGGAGGCAGCAGUGGGGAAUAUUGGGCAAUGGGCGCAAGCCUGACCCAGCCACGCCGCGUGAAGGAAGAAGGCUUUCGGGUUGUAAACUUCUUUUAUUAAGGACGAAACAAAUGACGGUACUCAAUGAAUAAGCCGCGGCUAACUACGUGCCAGCCGCCGCGGUAAUACGUAGGUUGCAAGCGUUAUGCGGAUUUACUGGGUGUAAAGGGCGUGUAGAAGGGAAUGUAAGUCAGAUGUGAAACCAAGCGGCUCAACCCAGGUCUUGCAUUUGAAACUGGCGUUCUUGAGGGAUGGAGAGGCAGGCGGAAUUCCGGGUGUAGCGGUGAAAUGCGUAGAUAUAAGGAGGAACACCAGUGGCGAAGGCGGCUUGCUGGACAGUAACUGACGUUGAGGCGCGAAAGCGUGGGGAGCAAACAGGAUUAGAUACCCGGGUAGUC